UACGGAGGGGAGCUAGCGUUGUUCGGAAUUACUGGGCGUAAAGCGCACGUAGGCGGCUUUGUAAGUUAGAGGUGAAAGCCCGGGGCUCAACCCCGGAAUUGCCUUUAAGACUGCAUCGCUUGAAUCCGGGAGAGGUGAGUGGAAUUCCGAGUGUAGAGGUGAAAUUCGUAGAUAUUCGGAAGAACACCAGUGGCGAAGGCGGCUCACUGGACCGGUAUUGACGCUGAGGUGCGAAAGGCGUGGGGAGCAAACAGG
RNAcentral lists this ribosomal RNA (255 nucleotides) under uncultured bacterium. RNAcentral describes it as "partial 16S ribosomal RNA". It matches the Rfam family "Bacterial small subunit ribosomal RNA", at positions 524 to 776 of the family's 1533-position model. The record is from RNAcentral.